RNA transcript from Fragaria vesca subsp. vesca, 1913 nucleotides. RefSeq lists it as uncharacterized. Lineage: Eukaryota; Viridiplantae; Streptophyta; Magnoliopsida; Rosales; Rosaceae. The record is from RefSeq and is a predicted model, not a curated record. The transcript has 3 exons.
UUGUAAUAAGUUUCAGAAGUUUGGAAAUAAGAAAAACACUUCAAGUAUAAGAAAAUUUGGCGGUUUGAUUUGGGUCGUGUAUAUAUACAGAGCAAGAGAGAAUGAAAUCAGAUCAGAACAACGGAUUCAGACCCGGACCGGGUCAUUCUCGACCCGAACGGAAUCGACGGGUCAACCCGACUUUUUCUUUGUCCUUCGACGAUGGCGUGGCGGAAGAUUAGUGGCGACGGCUUCAUCUUGUCCUUCCCGACCUCCCUGUGAUUCCAGUUUGAAAAGUUGAGCUCUGGAGAAGAAGAAUCGAAGAAGGAGAAGAGAGACUGGGUUCGCCAGCGAUCUUCGGAUUCCGGCCCCAACGACGACCACGACCGGUGCUGGUAGCUUCGCCUCAACUCCCUGAACAUCGUUGUUGUACUGGCUUUCGAAGAGAAGCCUUGAGGAGGGAGAAUCGAACAGAGGAAGUCUCUGAGUUUUCCGGCGAGUUCCCAUGUUUCCCGGCGACCUCUGUUUUCGAUCAAGAAGCUGCAUGUUUGAUGAUUUGGGUCAAGUUUCUGCAAGUGUUAAGGACUUUUGGGGUUGCUUCAUUUUGGAUGCAUGAACAGAGCAGGGGAUUGCUGUACAAUCUACACCCAGAAUUAAUAAUGAGUCUGGGGUAUUACUGUGUUCACCACUGAACCUAAUUAAGGUGAAGGUGAGCUUCGAAUUUAUAAUCAUGCAUGAGCUACAAGUGUUUAAUAUAAUACUUCUAAGUAUUGAUUCAGGAAUUUGGAAAUGGAUUAUGUGAAUGGUAAUGGUUGAUUGAGUAACAUGGAAUGUUAUAUCUGGGAAGAAAGAAUGUUUUAGAUUAAUCACAAGGGUGUGAUUGGUGAGACCAUGAGAACUUGAAUAUACAUGUUUGACGUUUAGUAUGAGUGGCUGGGCAUAGUUAUGCCUUUUAUUUGUUAAAUUGUGGUCAUUGGAGGAAUGGAGUUGAACUUUAGUAUUUAAAUUUGGUCUAUUGAAGAUGACAUACAACUUUGUUGUUAAGGAUCGAAUGAAUUCUUGUCAAAUGAAAUUAUGGUUACAUGACUGUCUUUCUUGAUAUGUGGAAAUAAUUUAGAUGGGUGUCCAUAGUAAUCGGAUGAACUACACCCAACGAGAAGAAUAAGGUCUCUUCAUAAUAGUGAUCAAUUGCUAUACAAAAUUAUUUAGUAAAGUGGAAUUGGCAGUGUUACCAUUUCAUAAAUGUUAUAUGUUGAGAGGCGAUGAGUGAACAAAAAGUUGAUCCUUUGAGUUAAUUUUAUACAAGGAUCAGUUGGUAAAUAUUUGUUGUUGUUGGACUAGGACUCCAGUUACCUGAAAAUAAAGAUGGUGGUGUUGGCCUAGAGAAACCUAAUGGAAUAAGCAGCGAUAUUCCAGAUAGGGGAUUCUGGACUUGCCUCAGUUAGUGUUUUUUGCAUAUGAUAUUAUAGUAAAGUGAUUUAUGCAUGAAAGAUAUAUUUUUUGAUUCCUUGUGAAUUAUUGUUUGAUGACCUGAGAGUGAGCGGGCCAUAGUGACUUUCUUGGGUUUCGAUCCCCUAAACCUCCGGAGGGGUUGUACGGACUGGAGGACGUUUAACAUCCUUUGAAGUGUGGCGUCGCUCCUAGACGGUAUGGCGUAAAUGGACACUCUCGCUACUCCUUGCCGGUGUGUACGAUAAUAAUCAUGUUUAUGAAUGCAGGUACUGUGUACGGAGACGGGAUAGUUGGACGACAUUGGGUGUGGCUUAGAAAUUUUGUACUUCAUGUUAUUGAUAGAGUUAAAUCCGUAUGACAAGUUUCCUUAUUUAUCGUGUCCUUGUUUAACCCUUUGAUCGAGUAUGUGUUUAUUCGAUUGUUGAUCAUGAACCGGACUGAUAUUGAUUUUUGUUCAAAGAGGGCUUGUUUGAUUUGAAAGA